GCCGCUAUGGUGGAAUUGGCAGACACAAGGGACUUAAAAUCCCUCGAUGGAGACAUCGUACCGGUUCGACCCCGGUUAGCGGCACCA
RNAcentral lists this transfer RNA (87 nucleotides) under Oscillospiraceae bacterium. RNAcentral describes it as "tRNA-Leu". It matches the Rfam family "tRNA". Rfam says of the family: Transfer RNA (tRNA) molecules are approximately 80 nucleotides in length. Their secondary structure includes four short double-helical elements and three loops (D, anti-codon, and T loops). Further hydrogen bonds mediate the characteristic L-shaped molecular structure. tRNAs have two regions of fundamental functional importance: the anti-codon, which is responsible for specific mRNA codon recognition, and the 3' end, to which the tRNAs corresponding amino acid is attached (by aminoacyl-tRNA synthetases). tRNAs cope with the degeneracy of the genetic code in two manners: having more than one tRNA (with a specific anti-codon) for a particular amino acid; and 'wobble' base-pairing, i.e. permitting non-standard base-pairing at the 3rd anti-codon position. The record is from RNAcentral. RNAcentral also lists the same sequence under 2 other names. Lineage: Bacteria; Bacillati; Bacillota; Clostridia; Eubacteriales; Oscillospiraceae.